ACAGACACCCCGAGACAGCUCAGCCACAGAGUACUUCUGUUAUACCUACUCUGGCCAAAUUCCCGUGGUUCAUUCUCUCUCUCAUUCUCUCUCUCUCGCU
This is a long non-coding RNA of Sapajus apella (tufted capuchin), 100 nucleotides long. RefSeq lists it as uncharacterized. The transcript has 3 exons. NCBI's taxonomy places the organism in Eukaryota, Metazoa, Chordata, Mammalia, Primates, Cebidae. The record is from RefSeq and is a predicted model, not a curated record.